This 72-nucleotide transfer RNA is filed under the name Lignosus rhinocerotis TM02. RNAcentral describes it as "tRNA-Arg (ACG) (tRNA-Arg-ACG-3-1)". It matches the Rfam family "tRNA". Rfam says of the family: Transfer RNA (tRNA) molecules are approximately 80 nucleotides in length. Their secondary structure includes four short double-helical elements and three loops (D, anti-codon, and T loops). The record is from RNAcentral. Lineage: Eukaryota; Fungi; Basidiomycota; Agaricomycetes; Polyporales; Polyporaceae.
GGCCGCCUGGCAUAAUGGCAACGCGUCUGACUACGAAUCAGGAGAUUGCAGGUUCGACCCCUGCGGUGGUCA